GGCCCAGAUCGUUUACCGUGAAAAAUUAGAGUGUUCAAAGCAGGCAGAUUCAAUUUUCUGCCACCGAAUACAUUAGCAUGGGAUAAUGGAAUAGGACCCUGUCCUCCUCUUUUCAGUUGGUUAAAUUUACGUGUGAGGAUCAGGGUAAUGAUUAAUAGGGAUAGUUGGGGGCAUUAAUAUUUAAUUGUCAGAGGUGAAAUUCUUGGAUUUAUGAAAGAUUAACUUCUGCGAAAGCAUCUGCCAAGGAUGUUUUCAUUAAUCAAGAACGAAAGUUAGGGGAUCGAAGACGAUCAGAUACCGUCGUAGUCUUAACCAUAAACGGUGCCGACCAGCGAUUAGGAGACGUUGAAUACAAAACACCACCAUGUAUAAUUCAAUAUAUGGCACCUUCACGGGUGUUGUAUGUUGAUUGUAUAUGGCUAUCGGUGAAUGACUCCCCUAGCAGCUUGUGAGA
Molecule: ribosomal RNA, 454 nt
Filed under: Acanthamoeba sp.
Lineage: Eukaryota; Discosea; Longamoebia; Acanthamoebidae
Description: SSU rRNA
Rfam family: Eukaryotic small subunit ribosomal RNA
Source: RNAcentral